RNAcentral lists this long non-coding RNA (2365 nucleotides) under Sus scrofa (pig). Its description in RNAcentral is "lncRNA (ENSSSCG00035037099.1)". Lineage: Eukaryota; Metazoa; Chordata; Mammalia; Artiodactyla; Suidae. The record is from RNAcentral.
CAGCAUAUGGAGGUUCCCAGGCUGGGGUAGAAUCGGAGCUGUAGCCACCGGCCUACACCAUAGCCACAGCCAUGCCAGAUCUGAGCCGUGCCUGCAACCUACACCACAGCUCACGGCAACACCAGAUCCUUAACCCACUGAGCAAGGCCAGGGAUUGAACCUGCAUCCUCAUGGAUGCUAAAAAUACCUGAAAAGCAAUGUGGCCUGCUCCCUCCCUCUCUUCCCUACCACACACAGAAUACGGUUUUCAAUUACUAUGACCUGAUCAGCUUUCUAGUGAGGAAAGCCAAAAACGGAAUCAAGACUUCUCUAGCCUGUUAUCUUAAUAUAAUUUUUCUGGCCUAUUAUCUAAAUAAAAUUAAAUCAACUUUGCUCUCAGGUUUUACUACAUUCAAGGAUUCAAGUACCCAGUCCCAACGUUCCUUUCUUAUCUGUUUACUGACAAUCAAUUCCUUCAAUAGCCAGCAUAUAUAAGUGACUAAUACUAGAAAAUUUUCUAAAUAAAAGAAGAGCUAAGUGGAUGCCUAAAGGAGGGAGUUCAUUAAAUGAUGAGAGAAAGAAUACAGAAAGGGAAUGCUAGAAAUACCAAAGACACAAUUAUUUUAUGUUUUUACCUAAGAGGUACGUUUUGUCCGCCUUCAAAUAUAUCUAGACAAGUAUUAACAGCAAUAACCCUAACUGCAGAAACACAAAGCUUAGUGGGGCCUACCACUUUUUAAAAGUAUGAUGCAGUUCACCCUAAACCAGGCAUGAAUCAUAAAGAUGUGUUUUAAUACAGCAAACCUCACUAUAAGGGAUAUUUCACACCAGAAUACUACUUAGUCAAUGCAUUACUAUAAUUACACAACUUAACUAAGGCUGGUGAUAAAAGAUUUUGAAAACAAUACAAUUUCAAUUGUAAUGCAAUUCUAAGAGGCUCCCUUCUACAAAAAUACAGCAUAAGAAGAAUAGUUAAUAAAUAUCACACCCUGGCAUAAAGCGUUUUUUAAAGUAAAUGUAUUUUUAUACCAUAUGGUCACAUUAUCCCUUAUUAUACCAUACGGUGGUAGAAAAAAAGUAACAUCAGGAAAGUUUAAAUGGUCAUAAGUAAUGUUUGAUGCCAAAAGCAUAAGCACAUUCAUUCAAUAAAUAUUUAAUAAGCUCCUGCCAUUUACCAGAAUAUUCUAUUUUGAGCAUCUCCAAAGUAAUACUUACAAAUACAGGACAAGAAAUUUGUUCGCUUUCCAGUAUAAUUUUAAAAACUAAAUCUACAUGUAUGCUCAAGAUGUUUGAUAAGAAUAAAAAAGUUUGAAAUAACCUAAUAUAAAAAAAUUAGUUAAAACCACAGUCUUUUUAUUUUUUAUUUUUUUAGGGCCACAUCCACAGCACAUGGAGAUAGAUUCCCAGGCUAGGUGUCUAAUUGGAGCUACAGCUGCCGACCUCUGCCACAGCCACAGCAAUGCCAGAUCCCAGCCGUGUCUGAGACCUACACCACAGUUCACGGCAGCACCAGAUCCUUGGCCAACUGAGUGAGGCCAGGGAUCCAAACCGCAACCUCAUGGUUCCUAUUUGGAUUCAUUUCUGCUACACCACAACAGAAACUCCAAAAUCAUGGUUUAUCUCAUAUGACAAUGUUUUGCCAUAUGAGUUUAAAAAUAUACAAAACCACAUACAUUGCAUUAUACAAGCAUAAAAAAAGAGUAUGCGGAUAUACACUAAAAUGUUUAUGGUAAUUUUAUCUUAUUGGCAAGAUUACAGAUAAUUUUCUAAAGCUUUUUGUAUUUAUACUUUUCUAAUUUUUCAGUAACAGAUGUGCUUUCCCUCUAAGAAACUUUUUAAAACCUGUAUUUUACUGUCAAAUAUGGUAAUUCUUUAGACUGAAAUGUGUCAUUUUACACAAGCACAUUUUUUCAUUUCUUUCCAUGUACUUGACAAUGAUAUCUCUUUAGUACAAAUGCAGAAGACAGUUCAAUUAAAAGAUCACAGUAUAUUUCAGUUUCCAUUGAAUUAACAAAUACCAACUUCAAAUUUAAAAUUACUUCUUGGAGGAAUUUACCAUACAUAACAUCGACUAUCUAUAUUCAAAACAGAUUCAUUUUUAAUCUUUUACUCCCCUCCCCCCUGUCAAAUAUAUUUAUUAUAAGUUCCUAUAAGAAAACAUGGAGGAAAAACUACUAUUCAUCACUAACCAUAAAAACCUGAACGGAGGCAGCAGUGGGAAACACGUCUAACUGAAAUUAGUUAAGAGUAUCCUUAUGGUUUCAAGAGAUACUAAUAUGCUUUAUAAUAUUGCCAAUUUAAAUUCGAAUUCAUCUAGCCUAGAGGUUCUCAAGCAUUGACACAUGAGAACUGCCCAGGAAGUGUGCCAAAUACCGAAAUCGACGGC